CCACGAGCGCGCAGCGCGAGUGGCUUUAGACCUAAUAAAACACGACCUGCGAGUUUUUUAAAUGGCUUCAAAAACGUUUGCAUAAUAAGUCAAAUCUUUAUAUAAAAAUAUUUAUAUAAAAAUCUUUAUAUAAAAAUCUUUAUAUAAAAAUCUUUAUAUAGUUUGCAUAACAAUGGUCUUUUGUUAAAGUGUUCUUUAGCUGGUAUAAAGACGUAUGCACGUGACUAAUUUCUUACUCAAGAUUGGAUAAUUGCUUCAUGAAUUAUUAAUGAGUUUUUGAAGUAGUCAUACAAAUUCCAAAUUCGACAAAAAUAUUGUCUCUUCUGGUUGAAAGGUUGGUAUAUAUUUGGGAGUGGGAAACAAGAGUUGCCUGCGGAGGAGGCUAAUCCGUAGCCACCAUUCAAAUUUCUUUGAUAUUUUCCUCUCUUUAUUCUCGGUUUUCUACUGGAAUUAAUGCACUUCCGUAAUCCGUAGCCACCAUUCAAAUUUCUUUGAUAAUUACCUUGAAAUGGGAUCAGAGAAAUGGAAUGUAAUUUCCUUGAAUUUAAACUUUAGAAACAUCUAAAAUACUAGAGUUUUCAAUUGUUCCAAAUUAGCCGUUCUCACGAUGACAAAUAUUCGCCAUUUUGGGUGGCAUCUAAUUCUCGUUAACCGAUUAAUGCAGACAAUCAGAGGCACACAAUUAAAACAAUGUGAACNNNNNNNNNNNNNNNNNNNNUGCAUAAUAAGUCAAAUCUUUAUAUAAAAAUUUUUAUAUAAAAAUCUUUAUAUAGUUUGCAUAACAAUGGUCUUUUGUUAAAGUGUUCUUUAGCUGGUAUAAAGACGUAUGCACGUGACUAAUUUCUUACUCAAGAUUAGAUAAUUGCUGCGUUUUUGAGCAAUUUAAAACAUUCGCAGUGCGUGUUUUAUCAGACCUAAAGUCGUAAAGUGAUACUCGGCUUCGCCUCGAAUCUUUAUAUCUGAUAAAACACUGCUGCUCAUGUUUUAAAAUCGAUAUUGGUACAUCAGUAUCGGCCAGAUUGUUGCAUGAAUUUGUAAUCGGUAAUUUCCGAUUGUGGAACAUGAUUAGAAUUUCGCCUUCAUGUGAGCUUUUAGUCACAACCAAACUCUGCUGCCGUGUUCGGUAACUAUUAAACUGGGUUCUUUUAGUUCUUCAGUUUAAACAUCAAAAAUUAGACAUCAAAACUGAUAGAACUAUCCAGUGUAAAUAAGAUAGGUUUUCGUCUGGUAAUAUCAUGUGACAAUAAUAAUGACCCUCAAUACUGGACCUCUAGUGAGAACAGUUUAGAAUUUGUACUACAUGGUCAUGGAGCUAUCCAAUAUACGAACUGUAUAAAUAAAUAAAAUGAGUCAAGUUUGCAUACAGGUCUCCUCAGAUCGCCAGGGAGAACAGUUUAGAACUCAUGUAGACUAUCCAGUAUUAAUAAAUUAUGUGUGGUUUAUGUUUCCUCCUGUAAUAACACUACUCACUACUCACUAGAGCAAUAUUGCGUAUAAAGCUAGGUAUGGCCUUAUUGAACUUCAGAAUUUCCAGGAAGAAUAGUUUAGAAUUGAUUGAGCCGUCCAAUGUAAAUGUGGUUCUUGUCCUCAUAAUCUCAAUGCUGAUUUGUACUUUUAAAUUGGGAGAUCGUAUAAAAAAUAUAGUUUUGCUAUUUCUACUAUUGCUAACUGUAGUUCAAAUGCCUCGCUAUUUUCGCUAUUGCAAUUGCGCUAACAGAGACUCCUGUUGCCGUCUCAAGCGUUUCAUUCGACUGAUUCGAGACUUACAUUCUCUAAUUAUAGCUCUUGAUUUUUCAUUGUUAAUACGGCUUCUUGAUAGCUUCCACUUUAGAUCAGGUGAUUCAAUAUUAUUUAAUUUAUUAUAAAUUGAAACGAUUUCUUCAGCCGUAAGCAGUCCAGAUGUAGCAACAUAUUUUGCGAAUCCGUCCUCACGCAUAGCAAGAAAUCUUAGAUCGUAUAUCGCAUCGCCAAUAACGAAUCUCCUGUUCUCCCUUGUUGUAUCUAAACCUUUCUGUGAACAUUGGUAGUCGAUCCAUUUUAAAACAGCUUUAAAAAGUUCAACUUCUUUAAUAGCCAAGCUGUCCCGCUUGAGCAAACAAGCUAAUGAUUUAUGGCUAAUCAAAUUGAAACAUUCCAAUACCACAAUGUCGUUAGUGUUCCAGUCUAUAAACUCCCAAGAUUUAAUUUCUAAAUGUUUCUCAUCAAAAUGAAUAGCUUGUUCUAAGAUAUACAACACGUUAUUGGGCUCCG
This 2250-nucleotide long non-coding RNA is filed under the name Paramuricea clavata. Lineage: Eukaryota; Metazoa; Cnidaria; Anthozoa; Malacalcyonacea; Plexauridae. The record is from RNAcentral.